RNAcentral lists this ribosomal RNA (253 nucleotides) under uncultured bacterium. RNAcentral describes it as "partial 16S ribosomal RNA". It matches the Rfam family "Bacterial small subunit ribosomal RNA", at positions 524 to 776 of the family's 1533-position model. The record is from RNAcentral.
UACGGGGGGGGCAAGCGUUGUUCGGAAUUACUGGGCGUAAAGGGCUCGUAGGCGGCCAACUAAGUCCGACGUGAAAUCCCCAGGCUUAACCUGGGAACUGCGUCUGAUACUGGAUGGCUUGAGUGUGGGAGAGGGAUGCGGAAUUCCAGGUGUAGCGGUGAAAUGCGUAGAUAUCUGGAGGAACACCGGUGGCGAAGGCGGCAUCCUGGACCAUUACUGACACUGAAAAGCGAAAGCCAGGGGAGCAAACGGG